AUUGAACGCUGGCGGAAUGCUUUACACAUGCAAGUCGAACGGCAGCACGGGGCAACCUGGUGGCGAGUGGCGAACGGGUGAGUAAUAUAUCGGAACGUGCCCAAUCGUGGGGGAUAACGUAGCGAAAGUUACGCUAAUACCGCAUACGAUCUACGGAUGAAAGCGGGGGAUCGCAAGACCUCGCGCGAAUGGAGCGGCCGAUAUCAGAUUAGGUAGUUGGUGGGGUAAAGGCUCACCAAGCCAACGAUCUGUAGCUGGUCUGAGAGGACGACCAGCCACACUGGAACUGAGACACGGUCCAGACUCCUACGGGAGGCAGCAGUGGGGAAUUUUGGACAAUGGGCGCAAGCCUGAUCCAGCCAUUCCGCGUGCAGGAUGAAGGCCUUCGGUUGUAAACUGCUUUGUACGGUAACGAAACGGUACUAGCCCUAAUACGGCAGGCGUAAUGACGGUACCGUAACGAAUAAG
This 468-nucleotide ribosomal RNA is filed under the name uncultured bacterium. RNAcentral's name for it is "bacterial SSU rRNA". It matches the Rfam family "Bacterial small subunit ribosomal RNA", at positions 30 to 490 of the family's 1533-position model. The record is from RNAcentral.